This 447-nucleotide ribosomal RNA is filed under the name uncultured bacterium. RNAcentral's name for it is "partial 16S ribosomal RNA". It matches the Rfam family "Bacterial small subunit ribosomal RNA", at positions 330 to 797 of the family's 1533-position model. The record is from RNAcentral.
ACCAGACUCCUACGGGAGGCAGCAGUGGGGGAUAUUGCACAAUGGGGGGGACCCUGAUGCAGCGACGCCGCGUGGGUGAAGAAGCGCCUCGGCGCGUAAAGCCCUGUCAGCAGGGAAGAAAAUGACGGUACCUGAAGAAGAAGCCCCGGCUAACUACGUGCCAGCAGCCGCGGUAAUACGUAGGGGGCAAGCGUUAUCCGGAUUUACUGGGUGUAAAGGGGGCGCAGACGGCGAUGCAAGCCAGGAGUGAAAGCCCGGGGCCCAACCCCGGGACUGCUCUUGGAACUGCGUGGCUGGAGUGCAGGAGGGGCAGGCGGAAUUCCUGGUGUAGCGGUGAAAUGCGUAGAUAUCAGGAGGAACACCGGUGGCGAAGGCGGCCUGCUGGACUGCAACUGACGUUGAGGCCCGAAAGCGUGGGGAGCAAACAGGAUUAGAUACCCGCGUACA